UACGUAGGGUGCGAGCGUUGUCCGGAAUUAUUGGGCGUAAAGGGCGCGUAGGCGGCCUGGCAAGUCGAUGGUGAAAGCCCGUGGCUCAACUACGGGUCGGCCAUUGAUACUGCUAGGCUCGAGUCGACUAGAGGCAGAUGGAAUUCCGGGUGUAGCGGUGGAAUGCGUAGAGAUCCGGAAGAACACCGGUGGCGAAGGCGGUCUGCUGGGGUCGAACUGACGCUGAGGCGCGACAGCGUGGGGAGCAAACAGG
This 253-nucleotide ribosomal RNA is filed under the name uncultured bacterium. RNAcentral's name for it is "partial 16S ribosomal RNA". It matches the Rfam family "Bacterial small subunit ribosomal RNA", at positions 524 to 776 of the family's 1533-position model. The record is from RNAcentral.